GGAAUUACAGGUGAAUAAAGAAUGGUACACUCAUUCCUGAGGGCACCGAGGAGGGAGGAUAGAUUUAGAUUUCUAAGGGAGGGUAUUAUCCAUUCAUGAAGGUCCAACCCCAUGACCAAACACCUCCCAGUAAGCCCCACCUGCAACAUUGGGGAUCAAAUUUUAACAUGAGAUUGGAAGGGGCAAGCAUUCAAACCACAGCAAGAGUUAAACUUCCUUUUUAAAAAAAAUCACUGAUAUGAUUCCAUUUCGCCAUAGAUAAAAGCUAGUAUUUCAGCCUACCAUUGAGUGUGCUUAUAGCUCACCAAAAGGGCACUCUGUCUCGAGAAUAGAGAGUGCCCUUUUGGUGAGCUAUAAGCACACUCAAUGGUAGGCUGAAAUACUAGCUUUUAUCUAUGGUGAAAUGGAAUCAUAACAGUGAUUUUUUAAAAAAGGAAAUUUAACUCUUGCUAUGGUUUGAAUGAUUGCCCCUUCCAAUCUCAUGUUAAAAUUUGAUCCCCAAUGUUGCAGGUGGGGCUUACUGGGAGGUGUUUGGUCAUGGGGUUGGACCUUCAUGAAUGGAUAAUACCCUCCCUUAGAAAUCUAAAGCUAUCCUCCCUCCUCGGUGCCCUCAGGAAUGAGUGUACCAUUCUUUAUUCACCUGUAAUUCCUUUACCCAUCCUUUUUGAGAUAUUAAUUACAUGUAUGUUACACUGCUGCAUAUUGUCUGACGUAUCAGUGAGUUUCUGGCUUUCUUAUUUUAGUUUACCCUUUGUCCUUUAGUUUGUAAAGCUUCUAUUUUGUUCUAUAAAUUUUCUGAUGUUAGGGUAAAAUCCAUUACUUAUUCAAUCUCAUGGAAUUUUUAUUUAAAAUAUUUAUUUUUCAUCUAUACAUGCCCCAUUUUUCAUUUUAUAACUUCUAUUUUUCUCCUAUGUUCAAUUUUCAUUUAAGUACCUUGACAUAUAUAUGUAUUUAUCUAUAUGUAUUUAUAAAAUAUAUUUACUUUAAGGACCUUGAAAUUUCCUUCUUUUCUGUCAUUUAUAAAUGACUUAUUUUUAUCCUGUUAAUAUAUAUCUUAAUUGUAUAUAUCUUACGGCUUCUUUGCAUGUCAGAGUUUUUUUUUUGGGUAUUUUGAUGUUAUGCUAUUGAAUAUCUAGAUUUUAUUGGCUACUUUUGAACAAUGUUGUGGCAGGCAGUUCAGUAACUUCAGGAUGAGUAUUUGUCUGUUGUUGUUUUAAAUCUUCUCUUUAAACUUUGUGGAGUUAGUCUAGAGCCAUCUGUAAUUUGGAGCUAAAUGAGCACUGUCACUAGGGCAUGAACCUCCAGUGGUCUUUACUGAAUAUCCUGGAGGUACAGAGGGGAUUCCCUUCUCUGGCUUGUCAGAGCUAACGUGUCUUCCUGUCAUGUGAUGCCAGGGAAGUGUUCUUCUUCCAACUCCCUGGUAGAGUCCUUUGCUGAGCUCCUUAGAAUUUCAUCCUAUGUACAUUUGGCUUAGGGACUUGGGAGAAUCCUUAGGCUGAUUCCUGAUUCCUUUUUCUGUAAACGUUCUCUUCUACUACACAUUCCAGCUACUUAACCUUUUUUGAUUUUUAUCUGGUUCCUCAGUGCAAUGAGAAUGUCUGCUCUCUCUAGGAUUCCUCUCUACUGCUGUCACGGAAAAUCUGAGAAUAAAGCAGGACUCAUUCUGGCUCCUUCUCUUCUCUUGCAGAGCAGAGUCCUGUGCUGCCUGAUGUUCAGUACUUCAAAAAAAUGUUUCAUAUAUUUUGUCCAGUUUACUAUUCUUUAACUCUAAAAGAGUAACUCCAGUCCCAGUUACAGCAUCAUGUUGUGUAACUCUACUCCUUGUUGCUUCAUUCUGCCAUUGUCUGGUAUGAUCGCCCCUUUCCCUUCUGUAAUCAGGCCAAGAGCAUAAUAUAAUACUAUUUAUAACUGCACAGCUUGCCUCCGUUGUGUAAAAAAAUCACUGAGACUUAACUGUGUCCAACUUUUAAAAUGUGAAUAUAAGUACAACUAAAGCUAUAUUUUGGUUAAUAUUUGCAUUGCAUGCUUUUCCAUUAUUUACUUUCAACAUAUGUGAAAUAUGAAUAUAAAUUAUAAAAACUUAGAGUCCAUUUUAAAAAUCUGGUCUGGUUAUAUUUUACCUGGUUUAAUACAACGUGCAUUAUUGAAUUCAGGGUCUAAUAUAAUUGGUACAUUUGUCUAUUUGCAAAAAAAAAAAAAAAACUUGACAAUAUUUUAAAAUUAAUUUAUCCAACUCACAACUUAUAUGCUUCUGCCGUUGUAUGGAAGAUACAUUUUAAACUUAAUGAGAUAGCAUUCUGUUAUACAGUCGAUAUCCAAUUAAAUUUCUCUCUAUGUUUAUUUCUUUCAUUAAAAAAAUUGUUCUUCUAAAUGCAAACUUUCAUCAGGGAUCAUGGCUCUUCUACCUGAAGAAUAAUCUUUAGUAUUUCUUUUCCUGUGGGUCUGCUUGGGAGAAAUUCUUUAUUGUAUCUUUGCUUUUGAUGGAUAUGUCCACCAAGUAGACAGUUCUAGGUCAGCACUUAUUUUAUUUCAGGACUUGAAAGAUAUCAGUACCUCACUUGUUGGCUUUCGUUGAUUCAUUUGAGGAAGUUGUUAUCAGUCAACUCUUUCUCUUUGUAGUUAGCCCAAUUUUUUUAUCAAGUGCUCUUUACAUUUUUCUUUUACUUUUCAGAAAUUGUCCCAUUAUGUUUCUAGAUGUGUCCUCUGUGUGUGUUUUCCUUUGCUUUGAAAAGUCUCCUGAACCUGAGGUUUAAUAUUAUUGGUCAAUUUUGAUAAAACCUCUAACAUUGCCACUUAAAAUGCUGUUCAGACAAGCUGUUUUCUCCUUCUUAGAUUUCAACGUGUUAGAUUAUUACUCUAUUCCUCAUAUUUUUUAAAUGACCUUUCUCUACUAUUUUUUUAAGUUGGUUAAUCUGUAUUAGUGUAUAUUUUGUUUUUUUAUUUUAUUUUAUUUUAUUAUUAUACCUUAAGUUAUAGGAUACAUGUGCACAAUGUGCAGGUUUGUAACAUAAGUGUUCAUGUGCCAUGUUGGUGUGCUGCACCCAUUAACUCGUCAUUUAGCAUUAGGCAUAUCUCCUAAUGCUAUCCCUCCCCACUCCCCCCACCCCACAACAGUCCCCGAAGUGUGAUGUUCCCCUUCCUGUGUCCAUGUGUUCUCAUUGUUCAAUACCCACCUAUGAAUGAGAACAUGUGGUGUUUGGUUUUUUGUCCUUGCGAGAGUUUACUGAGAAUGAUGAUUUCCAGUUUCAUCCAUGUCCCUACGUAGGACAUGAACUCAUCAUUUUUUAUGGCUGCAUAGUACUCCAUGGUGUAUAUGUGCCACAUUUUCUUAAUCCAGUCUAUCGUUGUUGGACAUUUGGGAUGGUUCCAAGUCUUUGCUAUUCUGAAUACUGCCGUAGUAAACAUACGUGUGCAUGUGUCUUUAUUGAAGCAUGAUUUAUAGUCCUUUCUGUAUAUACCCAGUAAGGGAAUGGCUGGGUGACAUGGUAUUUCUAGUUCUAGAUACUUGAGGAAUCACCACACUGACUUCCACAAUGUUUGAACUAGUUUACAGUCCCACCAACAGUGUAAAAGUGUUCCUAUUUCUCCACAUCCUAUCCAGCACCUGCCGUUUCCUGACUUUUUAAUGAUCGCCAUUCUAACUGGUGUGAGUUGGUAUCUCAUUGUGGUUUUGAUUUGCAUUUCUCUGAUGGCCAGUGAUGAUGAGCAUUUUUUCAUGUGUUUUUUUGGCUGCACAAAUGUCUUCUUUUGAGAAGUGUCUAUUCGUGUCCUUCACCCACUUUUUGAUGGGGUUGUUUUUUACUUGUAAAUGUGUUUGAGUUCAUUGUAGAUUCUGGUUAU
Molecule: long non-coding RNA, 3840 nt
Filed under: Homo sapiens (human)
Lineage: Eukaryota; Metazoa; Chordata; Mammalia; Primates; Hominidae
Description: HSALNT0035657
Source: RNAcentral